This 914-nucleotide long non-coding RNA is filed under the name Equus caballus (horse). RNAcentral's name for it is "lncRNA (ENSECAG00000044626.1)". The record is from RNAcentral. Lineage: Eukaryota; Metazoa; Chordata; Mammalia; Perissodactyla; Equidae.
GAGAGAUUUGGUCUGAAUUCUUGUAUUCUCUGAUUGUGAGGUUUGUUCAGUCACCUCUUGGGACCUGCUGUGCCCUGAUUAUGAAGUGAUACUCGCUUGUCAGCACCAAGAAAUGGAAGAGGGAAGUAUUGCCCCCUCUUCAACUUCCCAGAAAACGAAACAAUAUUCAUAACUGUACUUCCAAGAACCAUCAAGAGUAUCUGAAUUCGUUACUUACACAGCAAGAAAACGGAUGAAUAGCAUGUGCUCUGAAACUAGACUGCUUGGGUCCCAAUCGGAGCUAUGCUACUCCAACAGCUGUGUGACCAGGGGCAAAUUUCUUAACUUCUCAUCUGUAAAAGGGAGAAAGGAGUAGAACCUUCUUCACAGGGAUUUUGCGAAGAUUCAAUGAAUUAAUAUUCUCUGAGGCCAUUUGAACAGUGUCAUAUGAGACACUGUGGCCUCCAGGCAGCCAGGAGUGAUGUAUACUCUAUAGUCUGAGACUUCCUCCACCAGAGGGCCUUAUGCUCUGCACGGCUUCUCCUUAUACACAUGACGAUGUCCUUUGCUGGCCCUGGUGUGUGAGCGUGAACCUCCAGGGGCCUUGGGGAAAAUGAAGUUGUUUCCCCUCCCUCCUCCCACGUCAAAUAUUACAGACAGGCUCACUCAGCUCCACUCCAGCUCCCUUGUAAAAUGCCUUACCAAACGCUUCAGAGAAAAAAAGAAAGACUGCCUAUUUCCUAGACUCUUUGAUGGCUGGAGUUCGGAGUCUAUCAAGGAAACACACCUGGGGAUUUGGAAGGCAAGAAUAAGGUGGAGGCCAUGCUUAUGCUGUUUUCUGUCAUUUCUGCUGGCAUGUGUGCACGUAGAGAUGGUUUGCGUUCUUCUGUGACAGCAGUGGCAGGAGUCCCAGUGUCUGGCUCUCAGCUUUGUGG